CGAGCCGGCCGGGCGGUCGCGUCGGGGUCCUCGCGGACCCCGCCGAGGAAAGUCCGGGCUCCGCAGGGCAGGGUGGUAGGUAACGCCUACCUGGGGCGACCCACGGGAAAGUGCCACAGAAAGCAAACCGCCGGGGCCGUGGCCACACGGCACCCGGUAAGGGUGAAACGGUGGUGUAAGAGACCACCAGCGCCCAGGGUGACCUGGGCGGCUCGGUAAACCCCACCCGGAGCAAGGUCAAGAGGGGCCGCGGCCAAUGCGGCCCUGCGCGGAUGUCCGAGGGCGGCCCGCCCGAGUCCGCGGGUAGACCGCACGAGGCCGGUGGCGACACCGGCCCUAGAUGGAUGACCGCCUCCCCCGGCCCCGCGAGGAACCGGGGAGACAGAACCCGGCUUAGAGGCCGACUCGUCCG
This 412-nucleotide RNase P RNA is filed under the name Streptomyces boetiae. RNAcentral's name for it is "Streptomyces sp. DSM 44917 RNase P RNA component class A". It matches the Rfam family "Bacterial RNase P class A". From Rfam's summary of the family: Ribonuclease P (RNase P) is a ubiquitous endoribonuclease, found in archaea, bacteria and eukarya as well as chloroplasts and mitochondria. Its best characterised activity is the generation of mature 5'-ends of tRNAs by cleaving the 5'-leader elements of precursor-tRNAs. Cellular RNase Ps are ribonucleoproteins. Lineage: Bacteria; Bacillati; Actinomycetota; Actinomycetes; Kitasatosporales; Streptomycetaceae. The record is from RNAcentral.